This 440-nucleotide ribosomal RNA is filed under the name uncultured bacterium. Its description in RNAcentral is "bacterial SSU rRNA". It matches the Rfam family "Bacterial small subunit ribosomal RNA", at positions 338 to 770 of the family's 1533-position model. The record is from RNAcentral.
CCUACGGGAGGCAGCAGUGGGGAAUAUUGGACAAUGGGGGAAACCCUGAUCCAGCCAUGCCGCGUGUGUGAAGAAGGCUUUCGGGUUGUAAAGCACUUUCAGUGAGGAGGAAAAGUUAGUCCUUAAUACGGGCUAGCCUUGACGUUACUCACAGAAGAAGCACCGGCUAACUCCGUGCCAGCAGCCGCGGUAAUACGGAGGGUGCAAGCGUUAAUCGGAAUUACUGGGCGUAAAGCGCGCGUAGGUGGUUUGAUAAGCGAGAUGUGAAAGCCCCGGGCUUAACCUGGGAACGGCAUUUCGAACUGUCAGGCUAGAGUAUGGUAGAGGGUAGUGGAAUUUCCUGUGUAGCGGUGAAAUGCGUAGAUAUAGGAAGGAACACCAGUGGCGAAGGCGGCUACCUGGACCAAUACUGACACUGAGGUGCGAAAGCGUGGGGAGCA